GGCUCAGGACGAACGCUGGCGGCGUGCUUAACACAUGCAAGUCGAACGGUGAAGCCCUUCGGGGUGGAUCAGUGGCGAACGGGUGAGUAACACGUGAGCAACCUACCCCUGACUCUGGGAUAACGCUGGGAAACUGGUGCUAAUACCGGAUAUGAGCGACGGCCUCCUGGUCUGUUGUUGGAAAGAAUUUUGGUCAGGGAUGGGCUCGCGGCCUAUCAGCUUGUUGGUGAGGUAAUGGCUCACCAAGGCGACGACGGGUAGCCGGCCUGAGAGGGCGACCGGCCACACUGGGACUGAGACACGGCCCAGACUCCUACGGGAGGCAGCAGUGGGGAAUAUUGCACAAUGGGCGAAAGCCUGAUGCAGCGACGCCGCGUGAGGGAUGACGGCCUUCGGGUUGUAAACCUCUUUCAGCAGGGAAGAAGCGAGAGUGA
Molecule: ribosomal RNA, 434 nt
Filed under: Aquipuribacter sp.
Lineage: Bacteria; Bacillati; Actinomycetota; Actinomycetes; Micrococcales; Intrasporangiaceae
Description: bacterial SSU rRNA
Rfam family: Bacterial small subunit ribosomal RNA
Source: RNAcentral